This is a long non-coding RNA of Chlorocebus sabaeus (green monkey), 5788 nucleotides long. RefSeq lists it as uncharacterized. Lineage: Eukaryota; Metazoa; Chordata; Mammalia; Primates; Cercopithecidae. The record is from RefSeq and is a predicted model, not a curated record.
GCAAUUCUCCCGUCUUGGCCUCCAAAACUGCUAGCAUUACAGGCUUGAGCCAUUGCACCCAGCCAAUAGAUCACUUUAAAUUCAUCUUCAAGAAUGGUUCUAAAGCUUUACAACCAUGUAAUUUGUUCAAAUUGUUUUUUGUUUCUAUAAAGGCUCAAGGUUGACCAACACUUAAAACACUAUGACAUAGAGUAGGAGAAAAUAUUUGCAAAAGACAUAUCUGAUAAAGGACAGCUAUCCGAAAUAUGCAAAGUAUUAGAACUCAACAAUAAGAAAAGCAACAACCCCACUAAAAAACAGGCAAAGGACCAAAGGAACAACCCCACUAAAAAAUAGACAAAGGACCUGGACAGACACCUCACCAAAGAAGAUAUGUGGAUGGCAAAUAUGCAUGUGUAAGGAUCCUGAAAAUGAUAUUGCAUUAGGAAAUUGCAAAUUAAUGCCACAAUGAGAUAUUGUUACACACUUAUUAUAAUGGCCAAAAUCUAAAACACUGACAACAAAUGCUGAUGAGAAUGUGCAACAAUAGGAACUCUCAUUCAUUGCUGAUGGGAAUGCAAAAUGGUACAGCUACUUUGGAAGACAGCUGGGCAAUUUCUUACAAAAGCUAAACAUACUUUUACCAUACACUCCAACAAUAGUGCUCUUUGGUAUUUACUCAAAUGAGUUGAAAACCUGUGUCUACACAAAAACCUGCACACUGAUAUUUAUAACAGCUUUGUUCAUAAUUGCCAAAAUUUAGAAGCAAUCAAGAUGUCUUUCUCUGGGUGAAUGGGUAAAUAAAUUGUGGUACAUCCAGAAAACAGAAGAUUAUUCAAAACUAAAAUGAAAUUGGCUAUCAAGCCAUGAAAAGACAUGGGGAAAACUUAAAUGCAUAUUGCUAAGUGAAAGAAGCCAAUCUUAAAAGGCUAUGUACUGUAUGAUUCUAACUAUAUGACAUUCUGGAAAAUGCAAAACUAUAGAGACAGUAAAAAGAACCGUACUUGCCAAGGGUUAAGGAGGAAUGAGAGAUAAGUAGAUGGAACAUGGAGGAUUUUUUACAACAGUGAAACUAUUGUUUAUGAUACUAAAAUGGUGGAUACAUGUCCAAAGCCAUAGAAUAUAAAACGUCAAGAAUGAACUCUAAUAAGCUAUGGAUUUUGGAUGAUAAACACGUAUAAAUGUAGUAUAAAUGUAGGUUUGUUGAUUGUAACAAAUGUACCACUUUCUUGUAGGAGACUGAUAGUUGUCUACAUGUGUGUGUCAGGGGGUGCAGGGUAUAGAUGGGAGCUCUCCGUACUUUGUACUCAAUUUUGCUGUGAACCUAAAACUUCUCUAAAAGAUAAAUUUUAUUUUGAAAAACACCAUCAUACACUAAAACUUUUUUGUCCUUAUUUGGUAAUGCUUACAAAUAGAAUUUUAUUAAAAUUAUAUUUAAACGUAGAGUCAAAAGAUAUGCAUGUUUUAGUGAAAUAUCUUCUAUUAUUAUUACUAUCAUCAUAGUUAUUAUUAUUUGACUUGGAAAUCCUCAGUAGACAUUAUGAAUUUAGAGAUCAGUAAUGUUCAUUUUGAAAAAGACAUAUAAAUCGCUUUUGUGUCUUUUUCAUUUUCAAUUUUUCAAGGAUAAAAUUGCUUCUUGUUCUUUUGAUGUUACUAUGAUUAAGAGUCUUGUGCUGUAAUGAUCUCAGUUAAAAAUAGUAAAACGAAUCUCUUCAGUAUUGUGGUGGACUCUGCACAGUAAAUGCAACAGGAGGCAGGGUCACCUGCCCAUAUAGCUUUGUUUGUAUCAGCCAGUCGAAAUGUCAAGGUGGUUCCUUAUCCACUGGAUAAUUUCACAAUCCUCCUCUUAAUUUGGUUGCUUUGGACACAUUCUAUCCUGGAAACAAAAUCUAGGUUUCAUAAUACAUUCGGAAAUAAUAGAUUCAUGUUCUUUUUUUCCAGCUGGUACUGGUAGAGUUUACACAUUUACUCCUGCACCAUAGGAACAGCUGCUUAAAAAGCUGAAGUGUGUAUUUGAUUCCAUUACAUUGGCACAAUAGAAAGUCACGUAAAAGACGGAGACUCUCUCAGUUUCUCCAUAUUUGGAAAAUUAAUUCCUUUAAGUGCGUUAAAAAAAUCUCUACAGGUGGUCACAUUCUAUGAACUUAGGACCAGAAAUGACCUCAUCACCUUCAGCUGGUCUAAAAAUUGUCUUUGGCUGCUGCACGCUUCACAAAAUCUUGUUAAUUAUGAUUGUUUUUCCUAGUUAUAAGUCCUUCUGGAUACGUUUUUAUAAAGCAUUUAUUUUUAUCACUUACAUAACUACAUAAAAUAUUUUCAUUGGUGUCAAAAUGUCAUGUUAUUGCCAAACACAUUCCAUUUCAAUUUCUAGAAAUUAUUGGAAAGUUAAUACCCACACUUUAAUGGCACCCUUGCUGUAGUAUUAAAUCAUGCUUUACUGAAAUUCACAAGAAUCAUAAUUACACUGCAUCUAUCCAGAAUAAAGCACUAGAACAGUUACUUUUUGACCAUCUUGUCCGUUAAUUACUAUGCAUGCACCUUCUCUUUAGACAAACAAUAAAUGAAAUUUAGUGUCUUUCUAGAACUGAGUUUUCAUGAAAGUGAUUGUCAUAUAUAUACUCAUCAUCUACUUCUCUUUUCAGCACAGUAAUAUUUUAGUUCAAGAAUCGGUAAGUGAAUCUUUUCCCUGGCUUAUAGAACUUCACCCUAUUUAUUUCUAUUUCAAGAAAAGUAAAAAACAUUUUAAAAAGUAAAAUUAGGCAAGAAAAUUGUCUUGCUAGCUAGGCAUUUGGUUUCUCCUUAGAUUUGUUAUUUAAGAAAACUCAGUCUCCCUAGACAUCAUUUCAAGAAUAUAAUUGUUUAGCUGCAAAGCUAUAGUUUUGGGUAGAAAAUUCCCUUUGAGGGUUGCACAUUGAACCCAUAUUUAGAGAACCUGAGAAAUGAGCUUUCAGCAGUAAUCACAUUUACUCUUCUCCCCACAGCCUGGGGUGUCUGGAAGAACAUCCUCCACCAGGAACGCUGGAGGAUGACUGAAGGGCUGAGUCUGAUCCAGUUUGCCAGAAUAGGUCCAUCACCCUGAGGCCCUUUUUUGCCUAGGUCCUGCAUAUUCCAUGCUAUGGACGGAAUUACGUCCCUGUAAAAUUCGUAUUUUGAAGCCUUAACCCCCAGUGUCAUGGUAUUUGGAGAUGGGGCCUUUGGGAGAUAAUUAAGUUUAGACAAGGUCAUGAGGCCAUGGCCUCACCAUGGGAUUAGUACUGUUAAAAGAAGUGGCACCAGAGAGCUUGCUGUGUGUCUCUUUUUCUGCCAUUGUGAGGACACAGGGAGAAGGCGGCCAUCUGCAAGCCAGAAAGAGGGAUCUAGCUCCAACCAUGCUGGUGCAUGAAGACUUCUGGCCUCCAUAACUGUGGAAAUAAAUGUCUGUUGUUGAGCCACUCAGUCUAUGGUAUUUUGUUACUGCAGCAUGAGCUGAGGAUUGGAAUUGGCCCCCAACCUAACAAUGGUUCCGCUUAUGCUUUUUUGACUUUAUGAUGGUACAAAAGUGAAAAGCAUUCAGUAGAAACUCUAAUUGGAGUGCCCAUACGGUCAUCCUGGUUUUUACUUUCAGUAUAGUACUGAAAAAAUUACAUGAGAUAUUCCACACCUUAUAAAAUAGGCUUUGUGUUAGGUGAUGUUGCCCAUCUGUAGGCUGAUGUAAGUAUUCUGAGCGUGUUUCAAGAAGUUUAGGCUAAGCCACGAUAUUCUGUAGAUUCGGUGUAUUAAAUGCAUUUUAAACUUAAGAUAUUUUCAAUUUAUAAUUAGUUUAUUGUGACAUAACCCCAUCACAAGUCAAGGUGUAUCUGUCCAUCCCCCAAGGACAAGAGACUUGGAGCCUGAGCACACAGGGAUGGUGCAAACUCGGAUGUUGAUCCAGGCAGUUCAGGAACACAUGUUUUAAAAUUGGAACUAUUGCCUCAAUUUUCUCUUUCAGUGUGUAAAUAGAACCUCCAAAUAAGAUUAAAUUGAAGAGAAAGUAUUAAAGGGCAGUAUUCCAGUGGAAUCCAUGAACAGUUUCCUUGCACUGACUUGCUAAGGAAGGAAAAUUUUUAAAGUAGUCGUUAUUCUUAAGAAAGUUAAAUUUAUAGUUUAAGUUAUGGUAUAUUUUGUACUGGGCACUGUGCCUUCCUCAUAAUAUUCUUAUUAAAUAUUUGUUGAUUUAAGAUGUUUUUUACUUCAUCACAUGUAUUUAGCAAAGAGUAAAUUCUUAUAAAAGAAUUUUAUCAUAUCCUUGUGACAAAGCAUACUCCAUGCUAAAUGUGGUACUAAUUACUUGAGUGUGAAGGUGAAGAUUUUUCCUGGCAAAUUUGGAACAACGGCUUAAAAAAUAGGUACUACACAGCUGAAGAGUCUUUCUUUCCAGAUUCAACUCAUAUACCUACUAUCUUGCCUUUCCCUAAGCAUAUAUAUUUAAAUUCUAGAAACCGCCACAUUCACUUAUUAAAGCCAAGCAUGUGUCUAAUACUUAUUACACUACAUUUUUAGUUGUAUAAAAUACUGCUUGGAACAAAUAGUCACCCAGGACAGAGGUCCCGAACCCCUGGACCAUGGACUGGUAUUCAUCUGUGGCCUGUUCGUAACUGGGCUGCACAGCAGGAAGUGAGUGGCAAGUAAAUGAGCAUUAGUGAGAUCGGCGGCGGCGUUAGAUUCUCAUAAGAACCCUAUGGUGAACUGCACGUGCAAGGGAUCCAGGUGGUGUGCUUCUUAUGAGACUCUAAUUAAUGCCUGAUGAUUUGAGGUGGAACAGUUUUAUCCUGAAACUAUCCCCUCUGCCUCCUGGCCAUGGAAAAACUUGUCUUUCACGAAACUGGUCCUUGGUGCUAAAAAGGCUGGAGACCACUGAUCUAGGGCAUAGCUAGUUUUCGCCAUAGCUAUGUCAUAACUAGAUGUGUUGAGACAAAAUCUCACCUGUAGAUCUGAGUUGAGCAUAUGAGCCUAUUUCAUUGUGGUAGACAAUUCUGUCUGCCGUGGUCCUCCAAAGAUAUUCACAUCCUAAUCCCCAGAAUCUGUAAAUAUGAUACCUUACAUGGCAAAAGGGAGUUUGUACACAUGAUUAAAUUAAAGAUCUUGAUAUGGAAAGAUUAUCCUGGAUUAACCAGGUGGGUUCAACUUCCAUCCUAUGAGGGAGGAAGAAAGUCAGAAAUAAGAGUAGGAGAUAUGAUGUUUGAGCAGAGGAGAGAGAAAUAGAGAGAUUUGAGGAUGAUACGCUGCUGGUUUUGUUUUGAAGAUGAACGAAGGGGCCCUGAGCCAAGGAAUGCAGGCCACCUCUAGAAGCUGGAAAAGGCAAGGAAAUGGAUUCCCCCAAGAGCCUCCGGAAGGAACACAACCAUGCCAACCCGUUUUAGACUUCUGAUCUCCUGAACUAGGCUGCCACACUCAUCUAGGGGCUGCGUCUACUAAUUGAUGCAUGCAGAACUCAUUACUGUUGAUGGAAGCAAAAACAACAAGGUGGAGUGCCUUCAAUAAGUCAGAGGUUAGACACCCUCUGGCUCAACUUUACUGGCCAGUCUUCAUUAGUCAUUGAAACACAAGUGGAAAGAAGAUAAAUAUCCCUGUUAUUUGAGAGCAAAUCUUCUGAAUAUCCAUUCCAUGAAACUCAGAUACCCUCUCCAGGAACACAAACCCCUGGUGUGAAUUUCCCUUUCUGAGGAUCUGAUAUUAGUAAAGAAGUUAAUUUGGAAAAUGUUGGCUAUCUGAAGAAGACUGACAGAUCAUGAAUGACCUAAUUGGGUCUUGCUGUGUUGCCCAGUGUUGUCCAGGCUGGAGUGCAGUGGCA